This 835-nucleotide ribosomal RNA is filed under the name uncultured Actinomycetes bacterium. RNAcentral describes it as "bacterial SSU rRNA". It matches the Rfam family "Bacterial small subunit ribosomal RNA", at positions 60 to 908 of the family's 1533-position model. Lineage: Bacteria; Bacillati; Actinomycetota; Actinomycetes. The record is from RNAcentral.
AGUCGAGCGAUGAAGUUUCUUCGGAAAUGGAUUAGCGGCGAACGGGUGAGGAACACGUGAAGAAUCUGCCCUCCACUUUGGGAUAACACCGGGAAACCGGUGCUAAUACAGAAUAUUGAAACAUAAGUGGCAUCACUGAGUUUUGAAAGAAUUUCGGUGGAGGAUGACUUCGCGGCCUAUCAGCUAGUUGGUGAGGUAAUGGCUCACCAAGGCAACGACGGGUAGCCGGCCUGAGAGGGCGACCGGCCACACUGGGACUGAGACACGGCCCAGACUCCUACGGGAGGCAGCAGCGGGGAAUAUUGGGCAAUGGAGGAAACUCUGACCCAGCGACGCCGCGUGCGGGAUGAAGGCCUUCGGGUUGUAAACCGCUUUCAGUAGGGAAGAAGCGGAAGUGACGGUACCUACAAAAGAAGCACCGGCUAACUAUGUGCCAGCAGCCGCGGUAAUACAUAGGGUGCAAGCGUUGUCCGGAAUUAUUGGGCGUAAAGAGCUCGUAGGUCGUUUGUUACGUCGGAUGUGAAAACCUGAGGCUCAACCUCAGGCCUGCAUUCGAUACGGGCAAACUAGAGUUUGGUAGGGGAGACUGGAAUUCCUGGUGUAGCGGUGGAAUGCGCAGAUAUCAGGAGGAACACCAAUGGCGAAGGCAGGUCUCUGGGCCAAUACUGACACUGAGGAGCGAAAGUCUGGGGAGCGGACAGGAUUAGAUACCCUGGUAGUCCAGACCGUAAACGGUGGGCACUAGUUGUGGGAACCUUCCACGGUUUCUGCGACGCAGCUAACGCAUUAAGUGCCCCGCCUGGGGAGUACGUUCGCAAGAUUAAAACUCAAAGGA